This 119-nucleotide ribosomal RNA is filed under the name Pteropus alecto (black flying fox). The record is from RNAcentral. Lineage: Eukaryota; Metazoa; Chordata; Mammalia; Chiroptera; Pteropodidae.
AGCUACGGCCAUGCCGCCCUGAACAUGCCCAAUCUCGUUUGAUCUUGGAAGCUAGGCAGGGUCAAGCCUGGUUAGUACUUGGAUGGGAGACCACCGAAGAAGACCAGGUGCUGUAGGCA